RNAcentral lists this long non-coding RNA (385 nucleotides) under Coffea arabica (coffee). Its description in RNAcentral is "long non-coding RNA (CARA_LNC003272)". The record is from RNAcentral. Lineage: Eukaryota; Viridiplantae; Streptophyta; Magnoliopsida; Gentianales; Rubiaceae.
AAAUUCUGUCGGACGCUCGUGAGGAAGCAUCGGACGUCCGGAUGGAUCGGACGCACUCCUCGGACGCACAUCGAUCGUGUCGGACGUCCUAAAAAUUCCACGAAGAUUUGAUAACUCUCUGGACGACGUUCGGACACAGAAGCUCGGACGAUAAAAUCCCAUCGGACGUCCGAACAACAACUUGACUGAUUUUCGGACGAUGGGAUCGGACGAUGACUAAGCUGUCGGACGUCCGACAGGCCAACGGCUAGUUUCGACAGCAUUUAAUAUUUGACCGUUGGAGAGCCUUUUGGAGCCAUUUCUCACCUUCUAUAAAUACCCCAAAACACAAGAAGACAAGAGACUUUUGCCAACACUAAAUACAAGCUUACAAGUGAGAUUUUUG